AUUGAACGCUGGCGGCAGGCCUAACACAUGCAAGUCGAGCGGGGUUUUCGGACCUAGCGGCGGACGGGUGAGUAAUGCGUAGGAAGCUACCCGAUAGAGGGGGAUACCAGUUGGAAACGACUGUUAAUACCCGCAUAAUGUCUACGGACCAAAGUGUGGGACCUUCGGGCCACAUGCUAUCGGAUGCGCCUACGUGGGAUUAGCUAGUUGGUGAGGUAAUGGCUCACCAAGGCGACGAUCUCUAGCUGGUUUGAGAGGAUGAUCAGCCACACUGGAACUGAGACACGGUCCAGACUCCUACGGGAGGCAGCAGUGGGGAAUUUUGGACAAUGGACGCAAGUCUGAUCCAGCCAUUCCGCGUGCAGGAUGAAGGCCU
RNAcentral lists this ribosomal RNA (376 nucleotides) under uncultured bacterium. RNAcentral's name for it is "bacterial SSU rRNA". It matches the Rfam family "Bacterial small subunit ribosomal RNA", at positions 30 to 417 of the family's 1533-position model. The record is from RNAcentral.